Lolium perenne is the source of this 858-nucleotide long non-coding RNA. RefSeq lists it as uncharacterized. The record is from RefSeq and is a predicted model, not a curated record. NCBI's taxonomy places the organism in Eukaryota, Viridiplantae, Streptophyta, Magnoliopsida, Poales, Poaceae.
CGCCGCCUCCUCCCCGACGACCUCGCCGGCCACGACGCCGUAGUCCUCUACCGCACCAGCUUCCCUGCUCCCCUAGACCCGCGCCGCCCCGUGCCUCCGCGAAACCCUAGCGGAGCUAGCGGCUGCUGGUCCAGCGUCGAAGACCACCCGCCGGGUGCUGGCCCUCGCUCGAUCUCCUUCACGUCGUCCGCAUCAAGCUCGCCAGCCUCGGCGUUGGGAACCCGCCUUCGUUCCGCUGCUGCCUGGCCGCCGCGACGGGCUUCUGUGCCUCGCCCCAAGCUGCGACGCCGUGUGCCGCUGCAGGGCCACGCCGCAGACGUUCCAGGGCCGCUGCGUGCUGCUCUUCCUCGCCCCUCGCCUCCGCUCCAAGAUCGAGGAACUGCUCUUCCUGGCCGCUCACCUCUGCUCCAUCCUGGCCGCCUCAGCAUCCGCCUCCAGCCCAAAGUCUGCCAUCAAGGGAGACAUGAAGCUGAGGGUGGUCGUCAUGGACAGCGAGGCUGCGGCGGUGACGGCGACGGAGAGGAGCACCGCCAAGGAGAAGCUCUAGGAACCUUGAAGAAAAUAAACUAGCAACUUAGGGAACAGAUAUUCCUUAGGAUCUUGUUCCCGACAGAAGUUGCUUCAGGAAUCCCUAAAGAAGGAGUGCCAGCUAAGAUGCAGAACAGCUGCGGCCAGCGUCGAUGUGUUCGCGUUCGAAGACCUAACGGCUGCAGAGCUGAAGCGGUUGACGGAGGGAGCGGCGGACGGUGAGGGAGCGGCGGCGGACGAAAAGGGAUCUGCGGUGGCGGACGCCCUCUCCGAGGAGCGGUGGCACGCGGUCGUCCGGACGGGAAGAUGUUGUCUUGAAUCAGACGUAUU